GUAUACUGGGCCUUAAAACCAGACCAACUAUGCAGGCUGUUUAGUACAACAGAGUGGCUGUGUGUUCUGCUUUACAGAGGGUAGUUUUCACAGGCGAGCCAGCAGUAAAUCACACUGUGCAGGUUGAAGUUAACUCUUCAUUUGCAAGAACAUGGGGGGGUGUUACCGUGCGGCGUGGUCCGUGUCUGGUCCGAGGCUAAAGCGGGGUCCAAGGCAGGGAGUCAGGCGUGGUCAGGAACUUUGGUAGAAAGCAGGACAGGGUGCCGGCAGGAACAGGUAACCAACGCUGUUGCUCCCGCAACCUGGGACUGGACAGGCUGGCCUUUAUCUCCUCUGAGGCAUAGGGCGGCCCUGGUCCACAGGUGACUCACCUCUCCUGGCCUGGAGGCAAGCACUCCUCCUGCGAGAACUUAGUUCCCUCCGCCUCUCUGCCCUGAGCCUCUGCAGCUCAGGAGAGGCUGGAGGGUUACCGGACCCAGAGGCAACCUCACCUUCCCCUGACAGGGCUGGGAGAGGAGCACCUGCAGGCAAUGGGUCCUCGAUCACCUCCGGAGCCAGAGUGGAUACAUCUGGUGUCUGCUCCUGAGGAUCCGGCACAGGUGCAGGCGCUUCAGAUUCAAGCCCCUGCCCCGGCUCAGCCAGCCCUGGAGGCGGGGACUCCUGUGCAGGCUGGGAUUCCUCAGGUUCAGCCUCUGAGUCCGAAUCCCAGGCCAUCACACAGAAUGUCAGGCCUAACAGCCAUCUAAGUUUCCUUGCCUCCAGGGUUUCCCCCCAAGCAAUCUGAGAUUUAGCCUCUGUGAAGCCAACCUCUCCUCCAACCUUUUAAUGCCUCUUCUGGUUCUGGGAAAUAAGAGGGGAAUGAAGCUUGCUCAUUAUUGUCCUACCAGCAGUAUCACUUUUUGUGAUGUCACAUGCCAGCAAUGUCAUGUGCUAGUGAUGUCAUAAUCGUGUACGUUUCCUUAACUCUCACGGCUGUAGCUGCUCCUGGCAAGUGGGGGCACUAUGUGAUCAAGACUGGACCUACCAUUAAGCAGAGUGAGGCAGUGGCAGGAGUAAGCCAGCAGUAAAUCACACUGAGCAAAUUGGAGUCAACUCUUUAUUCGCAAACACAGGAUCUACACAGGAAUGUCAGCCCUAAUGAGUACAGCAGCUCAUCUCUGGCAGGUCUUGUUGCCAUGAAACAUUUGCUGAGACUGAAGGUUCCCCCCUCCCCACAGCUGCCUGUCCCUUCCUCCCCAUUGUUACUCCCAAGCAAUCUGAGACGCUGCCUACGUGAAGAUAACUUUGCCUCCGCCCUCUUCAUGACUCUUCUGGUUCUGGGAGAUCAGCUGCAAGGGGAGCUUGCCACAGCAGGAGGGGGAGACACCUGUUCCUCUUCACCAGCUGGACUAAUCUCUGCCUCUUCGCCUCCCUCCUCCCCUGAUUCAGCUUCUGCCUCUGAUGCUCUGCCACAGAUUCUCCCAGCUCACUAAGCCCUGUUACCUCUCCAGCUUCUGACACCUCCUCUUCCAGGUCUUCUCCCUCUGACCACUCAUUAUCGUCCCACCACCAGUCCCUGGGCUCUGAGCCUUCUUCCCUUGAUGGUUCCCCAGCUGGUUCCUCCCAGCAUUCCUCUGCAUCCAGCCAGCCCAACAAUAUUCCUACGUUUGAAGGGCUACCCAGUUUAAAGAAAAACCAUAAGAUGGGAGAGCAAGGACCUUGAAUGCACCUGGGCAGCAGACUAGCCGCCUAGUCACAACCAUCUCCACCAUGGUGAGAUAUUUUGUAUAGCUCUGUUUUAAGUUACAGUAAUCACUUCAAAUUUUGCAUCUCCAUAUAUGUAUGCAUACAUUAUUUAUAAAUUUAAAUAUUUUAUGUGUGUAUAAAUCAGCACAUGC
Molecule: non-coding RNA, 1877 nt
Organism: Podarcis lilfordi (Lilford's wall lizard)
Lineage: Eukaryota; Metazoa; Chordata; Lepidosauria; Squamata; Lacertidae
Source: the annotation of a GenBank genome assembly